GAUGAACGCUGGCGGCGUGCCUAAUACAUGCAAGUCGAGCGAACAGACGAGGAGCUUGCUCCUCUGACGUUAGCGGCGGACGGGUGAGUAACACGUGGAUAACCUACCUAUAAGACUGGAUAACUUCGGGAAACCGGAGCUAAUACCGGAUAAUAUAUUGAACCGCAUGGCUCAAUAGUGAAAGACGGUUUUGCUGUCACUUAUAGAUGGAUCCGCGCCGCAUUAGCUAGUUGGUAAGGUAACGGCUUACCAAGGCAACGAUGCGUAGCCGACCUGAGAGGGUGAUCGGCCACACUGGAACUGAGACACGGUCCAGACUCCUACGGGAGGCAGCAGUAGGGAAUCUUCCGCAAUGGGCGAAAACCUGACGGAGCAACGCCGCGUGAGUGAUGAAGGUCUUCGGAUCGUAAAACUCUGUUAUUAGGGAAGAACAAAUGUGUAAGUAACUAUGCACGUCUUGACGGUACCUGAUCAGAAAGCCACGGCUAACUACGUGCCAGCAGCCGCAGUAA
RNAcentral lists this ribosomal RNA (512 nucleotides) under uncultured bacterium. RNAcentral describes it as "partial 16S ribosomal RNA". It matches the Rfam family "Bacterial small subunit ribosomal RNA", at positions 28 to 523 of the family's 1533-position model. The record is from RNAcentral.